CCUACGGGAGGCAGCAGUGGGGGAUAUUGCACAAUGGGGGGAACCCUGAUGCAGCGACGCCGCGUGGGUGAAGGAGUGCUUCGGCAUGUAAAGCCCUAUCGGCAGGGAAGAAGCAAGACGGUACCUGACUAAGAAGCCCCGGCUAACUACGUGCCAGCAGCCGCGGUAAUACGUAGGGGGCGAGCGUUAUCCGGAUUAACUGGGUGGAAAGGGAGCGUAGACGGCCAUGCAAGCCAGGGGUGAAAGCCCGGGGCCCAACCCCUGAACUGCUUUGGAGACUGCCAUGCUAGAGUGCUGGAGAGGUAAGUGGAAUUCCUAGUGUAGCGGUGAAAUGCGUAGAUAUUAGGAGGAACACCAGUGGCGAAGGCGGCUUACUGGACAGUAACUGACGUUGAGGCUCGAAAGCGUGGGGAGCAAACAGGAUUAGAUACCCCAGUAGUC
RNAcentral lists this ribosomal RNA (441 nucleotides) under uncultured bacterium. Its description in RNAcentral is "partial 16S ribosomal RNA". It matches the Rfam family "Bacterial small subunit ribosomal RNA", at positions 338 to 795 of the family's 1533-position model. The record is from RNAcentral.